GACGAACGCUAGCGGCAGGCCUAAUACAUGCAAGUCGAACGGUAAGGUCCCUUCGGGGAUACACGAGUGGCGCACGGGUGCGUAACGCGUAUGCAACCUACCCUAAAGAGGGGGAAAGUCGCGGGAAACUGCGAAUAAUACCCCAUGGUAUCUUAAGGUUUCAUGAUCUAAAGAUUAAAGUUCCGGCGCUUUAGGAUGGGCAUGCGUCCCAUUAGUUAGUUGGUAAGGUAACGGCUUACCAAGGCAAUGAUGGGUAGCUGGUCUGAGAGGAUGAUCAGCCACACGGGCACUGAGACACGGGCCCGACUCCUACGGGAGGCAGCAGUAAGGAAUAUUGGUCAAUGGGGGCAACCCUGAACCAGCCAUGCCGCGUGGAGGAAGAAGGCCCUCUGGGUCGUAAACUGCUUUUCUGAGGGACUAAAGAUAUUCUAUAUGGGUAUUUGCAGGUACCUUAGGAAUAAGCACCGGCUAACUACG
Molecule: ribosomal RNA, 477 nt
Filed under: uncultured Bacteroidota bacterium
Lineage: Bacteria; Pseudomonadati; Bacteroidota
Description: bacterial SSU rRNA
Rfam family: Bacterial small subunit ribosomal RNA
Source: RNAcentral